Non-coding RNA from Globicephala melas (long-finned pilot whale), 3336 nucleotides. Lineage: Eukaryota; Metazoa; Chordata; Mammalia; Artiodactyla; Delphinidae. The record is from RefSeq and is a predicted model, not a curated record.
UUUUAGCCCUGAACUUGCCGAGGCGGGAGCCCCCCACUCAUCAUGUGGAGAGUUAGGGGAUAAACGAAGGGCCCGGGCCGUGGACGCUGAGGACCCUUGGGGCUCUUCCCCGUGGGCAGGGCGGACUAGCUCUGAACCGCUGGGGGGUGGCGGGAGGAAGGCUCUCCGGAGCUCUUUAUGCUGAGCCAUUCCUUUAGCUUGAGUCAUUCGUUUUUGUAAAGCUUUAGGAACAGACAGACAUCCUGACUUCAAACCGUAGCCAUUGACCGCCUGUCAGAUAAUCUCUGGACUCUUUCCCUAAGCACUUUUUUAUUCGGGUUAAUCUAGCUAAAAGCUAAAGCUCCAGCCAUAUAUGUGUUUUCCCUAACAUCUUCAGCGAUUCCCUUCUAUCUGCUGAUACCUUUGACAGCAGGACUGAAAGAUAGUUUGUUAUAAUGCUUGUAGAGGACAAGCUCAUUGUCCUGUGAAGAUAGGUGGUCUUUUAGUUCUAAUUUUGGUUACGGUUUAUUGUUUAUUUUGUAAUAAGAGCCAUAAAAUAAUUUUGCAGUAAUUCAUAUUACUAGACUUAUGCAGUGAUCCAAGGUGUCAACUGAGAGAAAAAUACACAACAUGAGAGGUGUGAGUUAAGGUUUAUUCAGGGUCUUACUGAGGACUGUAGCCCCAGAGACAGCAUUCGGAUAGCUCUGAGGGACUGCUCCAGAGAGGUGGGGGGAGGCUACUUUAUAUGUGAUUUUGUUGUUGUUGUUAGGGAACACGUGCAGUCAAAUGUAUCUUGGUAAAAGAUCACUGCCCGUCACAAAGAACAGAUAUCCCAAGUUAAUGAUUAUAGGGCUUUUCUAUGUAUGGGAAGCGGGGUUCAUUAAAACUCUUCGUGAAAUGCAUGUGUCUAAGGGCCUGUUUGUCCAAAGCACAGAGCCUCCCGUUUUCAUCUUUAAAUUUCCUCUGAAGCACAGAUUGCCCAUCCUGUUAUCACCUUAAUCUCUUCAUCUGAAGCAUCCAGUGCCCUGUUGUUCAGCGGCUGCAGCGGGUUAAUCUUUGAAGACUUGGAUGGGAUGGUAUAAAGAAGCAUUAGAACAGUUUGAAGAAAUCAAGGAAAAGGAUCAUCAGGCAACUUACCAGCUAGGAGUGAUGUAUUAUGAUGGUCUGGGGAUGACCGCAGACGCUGAAAAAGGAGUGGAAUAUAUGAAGAAAAUCGUUGAUUCUCCAUGUCCCAAAGCAAGACACUUACAAUUUGCAGCAGCUUACAACCUUGGAAGAGCUUAUUAUGAAGGAAAAGGUGUUAAACAAUCAGACGAGGAAGCUGAAAGACUGUGGCUUUUUGCUGCAGACAAUGGAAAUCCAAAAGCUAGUGUGAAGGCUCAAAGUAUCCUAGGAUUGUAUUACUCAACAAAGGAACCCAGAGAGUUAGAGAAGGCGUUUUAUUGGCAUUCAGAAGCUUGUGGCAAUGGAAACCUGGAAUCCCAGGGUGCGCUUGGGCUCAUGUACUUUUAUGGACAAGGCAUCCACCAGGAUACCGAGGCUGCCCUGCAUUGCUUGAGGGAAGCAGCAGAGCGUGGAAAUGUCUACGCUCAAGGGAAUCUCGUGGAGUAUUACUAUAAGAUGAAAUUUUUUACAAAGUGUGCUGCAUUUUCGAAAAGGAUUGCUGACUACGAUGAGAUUCAUGACAUCCCCAUGAUAGCCCAGGUCACGGACUGUCUCCCAGAAUUCAUCAGCAGAGGCAUGGCCAUGGCCUCUUUCUACCACGCACGGUGUCUGCAGCUUGGCUUGGGUAUCACAAAGGAUGAAGCAACAGCUAAACACUAUUAUUCUAAAGCUUGUCUUCUGAAUCCUUCAUUGGCAGAUGAACUUCACACUUUACUUAUUCGUCAGAGAAUUUAGACUACAAUGUACUUCAACAAAGAUCAUCGAUCCUAACAACUUAGAAUCACUUAUGUUUCAUAUCAAUAACUAGGCAUAUCAGGAACUCAGCAGGGUCAGAGCCCAGGCCUCACCUGGAAUGUUUUCAAGCAGCUUCUGCUGUGCUCUCCGCUUUGUUUCCUGGCUUUGCUCUUCACUUGGGAUUGUGUUCGGAGGUGCCAAAUUCCCACCGGGCCACAAAGCAUCCCGGAGAGCGCCGAUGUAGUAGACCACCAUUUGCUCGCUGAGAGCCCAGUCCACUGCGUCCCGGAGUUGUCUUUCAAGAGCAAAAUAUUUCUUGGAUGAGGUUUUUAAAAAUCUUAUUCUCUAUUCUCACAAGGCAUUUAUCAAUGAGUAGGUUAAGAUAAGCGUUUGAUGAAUAAACUAGGAAUUGGAUUUUUAAACUCUGACUCGGAAAGUUUUUUUUUAUUUUGGUAACACUGACAGCCAUUCAUUCCUGGAGCUCACAUUUUCACUGGUACUGAAUUCUCUAAAUGUUUGCCGCACGGUGUCUUUCAAUCUGGAAAAGCAAGAACUGAGAGGAGACUGAUUUGUUUGAAGCUUGCAACUACUCUUAACUGUGCACGGUACUCAACAUACUAAUUUCUCCAUGAAGUGGUAUAAACUGAAAGCAUCAAUCCGUUUUAAAAGACUGUGAAGAGCUCCCUGAGCUCUGGGAGUCCUGGGGAGAACCAAGCUUCUUCACUAGUUGUCCCCUGGGGCGGCCACGGCAGAGGAUGCUGGGCAGAGUUGUCUGACCCCGGAAACAUCUCACAUGCUCACGGGGCAAAGGGGGAAAAGACACCCCCCUUUCACCACAAAGGGGGGGACUUUGAAAAGAUACACUGCUAUCCAGCCACGUCACCUUCCCACAGGAGUGAAAAUCGGGCAGAUCUUGACCUGCACGGUUAUAAAUAAGUGGCUUUUAUCUGGUUACCCAGGUCUUCCAUAAACCCAACUUCAUCAAAUUCCAGCCAACCACUGGACUGCUGCAGAGAGCAGCACAGCUCACAGAGCCAGGAGCGGUGCUGAGGUUGGGAAGGGAAGUCUCUCUGCAGAAAAUGGGAGCAGAAUCACCUUGGACUAUUAGUGCAAGAAAGACCUGAAGUUUCAAACUUAAUUCACGAAUAAUAAAUCAGAAAGCCCUUUAAGAAUCUGACUUCCCAACCAGAUUUUUAAAGGGACAAUGUGAGGUUUUCAGAAAUAAUAUCUGAAAUAGAUGUUUCAAGCCCAGCACUUUGCACACAGUAACUAGUCACCAAUGAAGUCUAAAUUCCACUGUGAGUCAGAACCAUGGUAAUCCUGUUUGUAACUGCAUGUCUCCUAAGAUACUUCCCGAUACUGCUUAGAACUGUGCAAUUCAUAUCUAGAUCAAAUAAAACAAUUUUAUUAAUUGAAUGGGGCUUUGGCUUUGAGAACCUGCUGACCUGCCUAAGUAAA